GAUGAGCAUGCGUCCCAUUAGCUUGUUGGUAAGGUAACGGCUUACCAAGGCAACGAUGGGUAGGGGUCCUGAGAGGGAGAUCCCCCACACUGGUACUGAGACACGGACCAGACUCCUACGGGAGGCAGCAGUGAGGAAUAUUGGUCAAUGGGCGCAAGCCUGAACCAGCCAUGCCGCGUGCAGGAUGACGGUCCUAUGGAUUGUAAACUGCUUUUGUACGGGAAGAAACAACUCUACGUGUAGAGUCUUGACGGUACUGUAAGAAUAAGGAUCGGCUAACUCCGUGCCAGCAGCCGCGGUAAUACGGAGGAUCCAAGCGUUAUCCGGAAUCAUUGGGUUUAAAGGGUCCGUAGGCGGUUUAGUAAGUCAGUGGUGAAAGCCCAUCGCUCAACGGUGGAACGGCCAUUGAUACUGCUAGACUUGAAUUAUUAGGAAGUAACUAGAAUAUGUAGUGUAGCGGUGAAAUGCUUAGAGAUUACAUGGAAUACCAAUUGCGAAGGCAGGUUACUACUAAUGGAUUGACGCUGAUGGACGAAAGCGUGGGUAGCGA
RNAcentral lists this ribosomal RNA (550 nucleotides) under uncultured Bacteroidota bacterium. Its description in RNAcentral is "bacterial SSU rRNA". It matches the Rfam family "Bacterial small subunit ribosomal RNA", at positions 224 to 771 of the family's 1533-position model. Lineage: Bacteria; Pseudomonadati; Bacteroidota. The record is from RNAcentral.